UGAUCCUACGGGGGGCAGCAGUGGGGAAUAUUGCACAAUGGGGGAAACCCUGAUGCAGCGACGCCGCGUGAGUGAAGAAGCACUCCGGCGCGUAAAGCCCUGUCAGCAGGGAAGAAAAUGACAGUACCUGACCAAGAAGCCCCGGCUAACUACGUGCCAGCAGCCGCGGUAAUACGUAGGGGGCAAGCGUUAUCCGGAUUUACUGGGUGUAAAGGGAGCGCAGGCGGUAUGGCAAGUCAGAUGUGAAAACCCAGGGCCCAACCCUGGGACUGCAUUUGAAACUGCCAUACUGGAGUGCCGGAGAG
This 305-nucleotide ribosomal RNA is filed under the name uncultured bacterium. RNAcentral's name for it is "bacterial SSU rRNA". It matches the Rfam family "Bacterial small subunit ribosomal RNA", at positions 334 to 656 of the family's 1533-position model. The record is from RNAcentral.